RNAcentral lists this long non-coding RNA (632 nucleotides) under Marmota monax (woodchuck). Lineage: Eukaryota; Metazoa; Chordata; Mammalia; Rodentia; Sciuridae. The record is from RNAcentral.
AGAAGUUGAUUGGAUCAACAUAAAGAUUUGGAGGGGAGAAGCAUAUCAGGACUGCUCUGUAGGCAGCUCCACUGGGCACAUUUCUUCCAGAAAUGUCUAUGUUCUACUGCUAUGGGAUGUUUAGAGGGAAAGAAGACUGGGAUGGUGGCCCGGAAUUCUCUGGUAUUCUCUAGUAUUUAAGGCUUACUGUGAUGAUAGUGGACAAAAAAAAAAAAAAGGAUUUAGGAUGUUUAGAAGAUGCCUUAGCUUUACUCUCAGUUUCCCUGAAAAUGAAGGUAGUGAUUAUACUCUGAUAUAAUUCUAGGAGGCACCCUCUGAUUUUUGGUAUGUUUAGGUAUAUAUGAGUUUUUUGCUGGGUCAUAGGAGAUAGUUCCUAAUUGUUUGUGCCUUAUCAGUCAAGUUACUCUCUGUUCAGGGAUGCAGUGUUAUGUGCCCUCCUAAAGAAAAGUUUCAUGUAUUCAGCACUGUCAAAUCCAGUGUGGGCUCCCGUGUGUAUAUUUCGGAGUGUGUAGGGUGUGGGAAUGUAGGGCCACUGCCCUUCUGGAGUGCACAGGUAACAGGUUGGUGGACUUGUAUCUGGGCACUAUGGGUGGUGGGCAGUAGUGGUGUCUGUGUGAUGCUUUUAUGAAAAC